AAUAGAUACCCUGGUAGUCCACGCCGUAAACGGUGGGCACUAGGUGUGGGCAGCAUUCCACGUUGUCCGUGCCGUAGCUAACGCAUUAAGUGCCCCGCCUGGGGAGUACGGCCGCAAGGCUAAAACUCAAAGGAAUUGACGGGAGCCCGCACAAGCGGCGGAGCAUGUGGCUUAAUUCGACGCAACGCGAAGAACCUUACCAAGGCUUGACAUACACCGGAAACAUCCAGAGAUGGGUGCCCCCUUGUGGUCGGUGUACAGGUGGUGCAUGGCUGUCGUCAGCUCGUGUCGUGAGAUGUUGGGUUAAGUCCCGCAACGAGCGCAACCCUUGUCCCGUGUUGCCAGCAGGCCCUUGUGGUGCUGGGGACUCACGGGAGACCGCCGGGGUCAACUCGGAGGAAGGUGGGGACGACGUCAAGUCAUCAUGCCCCUUAUGUCUUGGGCUGCACACGUGCUACAAUGGCCGGUACAAAGAGCUGCGAUACCGUGAGGUGGAGCGAAUCUCAAAAAGCCGGUCUCAGUUCGGAUUGGGGU
RNAcentral lists this ribosomal RNA (534 nucleotides) under uncultured bacterium. RNAcentral describes it as "bacterial SSU rRNA". It matches the Rfam family "Bacterial small subunit ribosomal RNA", at positions 777 to 1304 of the family's 1533-position model. The record is from RNAcentral.